This 605-nucleotide ribosomal RNA is filed under the name uncultured archaeon. RNAcentral describes it as "bacterial SSU rRNA". It matches the Rfam family "Archaeal small subunit ribosomal RNA", at positions 325 to 930 of the family's 1478-position model. The record is from RNAcentral.
ACGGGGCGCAGCAGGCGCGAGAACUUUACAAUGCGGGAAACCGUGAUAAGGGGACACCGAGUGCCAGCAUCAUAUGCUGGCUGUCCGGAUGUGUAAAAUACAUCCGUUAGCAAGGGCCGGGCAAGACCGGUGCCAGCCGCCGCGGUAACACCGGCGGCCCGAGUGGUGAUCGUGAUUAUUGGGUCUAAAGGGUCCGUAGCCGGUUUGGUCAGUCCUCCGGGAAAUCUGAUAGCUCAACUGUCAGGCUUUCAGGAGAUACUGUCUGGCUCGAGGCCGGGAGAGGUGAGAGGUACUUCAGGGGUAGGGGUGAAAUCUUGUAAUCCUUGAAGGACCACCAGUGGCGAAGGCGUCUCACCAGAACGGACCUGACGGCAAGGGACGAAAGCUAGGGGCACGAACCGGAUUAGAUACCCGGGUAGUCCUAGCCGUAAACGAUACUCGCUAGGUGUCGGCCACGGUGCGACCGUUGUCGGUGCCGUAGGGAAGCCGUGAAGCGAGCCACCUGGGAAGUACGGCCGCAAGGCUGAAACUUAAAGGAAUUGGCGGGGGAGCACCACAACGGGUGGAGCUUGCGGUUUAAUUGGAUUCAACGCCGGAAAUCUUAC